CUACGGGUGGCUGCAGUGGGGAAUAUUGGGCAAUGGGCGAAAGCCUGACCCAGCAACGCCGCGUGAAGGAAGAAGGUUUUCGGAUCGUAAACUUCUAUCCCAGGUGAAGAUAAUGACGGUAGCCUGGAAGGAAGCCCCGGCUAACUACGUGCCAGCAGCCGCGGUAAUACGUAGGGGGCAAGCGUUGUCCGGAAUGAUUGGGCGUAAAGGGCGCGUAGGCGGCCUUCUAAGUCCGAUGUGAAAGUCCUGCUUUUAAGGUGGGAAUUGCAUUGGAAACUGGAGGGCUUGAGUGCAGGAGAGGUAAGUGGAAUUCCCGGUGUAGCGGUGACAUGCGUAGAGAUCGGGAGGAACACCAGUGGCGAAGGCGACUUACUGGACUGUAACUGACGCUGAGGCGCGAAAGUGUGGGGAGCAAACAGGAUUAGAUACCCUCGUAGUC
Molecule: ribosomal RNA, 439 nt
Filed under: uncultured bacterium
Lineage: Bacteria
Description: partial 16S ribosomal RNA
Rfam family: Bacterial small subunit ribosomal RNA
Source: RNAcentral